CUUUGUUCUUUUGUUCAAUCACCUCUCUGACAUAUAUCAAAAUGAACAAGCUUCUCCUCCUUGUCUUGUCUCCUCUGCUCUUCUGUUCUGUGGCCCAGGGUCUUUGGUGCAUUUCAGCAGAACAAGGGAAACCAGGUGUUCCAGGUUCUGAGUGCUUUGCCUGUGGUGAAGAACAAUGUUAUGUAUAUGCUGUAUAUCAAAGGAAUAAGCUUUUCGAUUGGAAAUAUGGUUGCACCGAUAUGCAGAAUGACUAUCGUAAGCAAUGCAACACGACAGAGACUGGGAAAAGGGUAACAAUAAAAUUCAGAUGCUGCACUACUUAUCAUUGUAAUAGUGGAACACCCACUUACAUUUAGCCAUUGCUUUAGAAGGGGCAGUGAUGGGAAGAGAAAUCUGCCGUCUGUGUCUCUCCACUCUGCCCUGCUGCACGCAACAUGCCUUCCAGAGAACGCUUUCAUCCUGUUGCUUAAUGAUAUCUAACUACC
This is a long non-coding RNA of Hemicordylus capensis (graceful crag lizard), 485 nucleotides long. RefSeq lists it as uncharacterized. NCBI's taxonomy places the organism in Eukaryota, Metazoa, Chordata, Lepidosauria, Squamata, Cordylidae. The transcript is spliced from 3 exons. The record is from RefSeq and is a predicted model, not a curated record.